Molecule: long non-coding RNA, 1971 nt
Filed under: Prunus dulcis (almond)
Lineage: Eukaryota; Viridiplantae; Streptophyta; Magnoliopsida; Rosales; Rosaceae
Description: sRNA ncRNA
Source: RNAcentral
GGGAAACCAAACGUCUUUCUUCUUCCUCCAACGCUUGGAGACCUUUCACGCAUACCAAACGACAUGGAGAAGAAGACUCACCAUCAUCAGUUGAAGAAGAAGACCCACCAUCGUCAGUUGAAGAAAGACCCACCAUCUAUGCGAUAUAGGUAUGCUAUCAUGUGUAUGAAGUACAAAAUUUUUUGGAUGAGUUCUGAUAUGGUUUUAAUGGGUUUGAAGAUCACUCCUCUAGAUUUUUAAUGAUUUUUUAAAAUUUUGGAAUAUCAUGUGUCUGAAGUACAAAAAAGCAUAUUCAUUUAAAAUUUUUGGAUGAGUUCUGAUAUGGUUUUAAUGGGUUUGAAGAUCACUCCUCUAGAUUUUUAAUGGUUUUUUAAAAUUUUGGAAUAUCAUGUGUAUGAAGUACAAACAUGCAUAUUCAUUUAAACAAUAGAUGGUUGUUCUAGCUUGUCCAUCUUAUUCAUUCUGCAGACUUGUGCUCGAUGUAUAUUAUUAAGGUCAUUCUUCGUUCUCGGGCUUUUGCUAUGGGUGGCUUGCUGUUCAAUAGUUACAGAAAGCAUACUGAUUAAUUAGAUGAUUAGAUGUUGUCUGAUAAAUCAAUUAUACCAUGGUUCUUCGAUUUGGAGUUUUGUAUCCUGAGUUUUGAUAUGGAUUUUAAGAACUCAUCAACAAUUCUACAACUUUUUUUUUUUAUUGAGUACUGUAGUUUUGUAAUUUUCCAUCAAACUUGUGCUUUCAAUGCACCAUUCAACAUGGUUUGUGUUUCUUGUGAUUCUAGGCUACUUAUUUUUUAUUUUUUUUGGAGUACUGUAGUUUUGUAGUUUACAAUUAAACUCUUUCUUUCAAUGCUCCAUUCAACAUGGUUUGUGUUUCUUGUGAUUCUUGGUUAUUGAUUAAUCUACCUCGGGUUUGCCAUAAGGUAAUUGAUCUUCACUUACAUAAUAUAUUUGCGGUAGAGUGGGUUUUCUUGUCUUUUUUUUUUUUUUCUCUUUUCUUAAUCUAGUCUUUUGGAUUAAGGAAAAAAAAAAAAAAAGAGACAAGAAAACAGAAUUUCAUAUACAUAUAAUAUAUUUUUUAUCUACUCUUAAUUGAUAUUUGAGAAGAAAAAACAUAAUGUCAUAUAUAUGUCCAUGUUUUGUGAUUAAAGUGUAUCUGUGCAUGUUCUAUGGUUAAACAGAUUUGCUCACCUAUUGUUCAACUAUGGAAGCUAAUAAUGGCAUAUUAGUUCACAUGGAAACUGAUUCAGAAACAAAUCCUUCCGUAUCAAUUUUCUAUCCUCAAGUAAUUGGUGAGCUCACUCCCUUCCAAAGUCAACAAUUUGAAACAUUAGAAGUGUAUGACUUUUACAAUCAGUAUGCAAGGGAAGCAGGGUUUAGUGUUUGAUCAUAUUCUAGUAAGAAGAGUAAAGACGGAGAGGUCAUACGAAAAGAGUACGUUUGCAAUAAAGAGGGAAGUUGGUCAACUGAAACAGGCGGUGUUGUAAAAAGGCAUCGUGGAGUAGGCAAAGAGUCUUGUAAGGCACAGCUAAUAGUUGUUAAAUCAAAAUAUGGUGGAUACGUAGUCACCAUAUUUGAUGAGGCUCAUACUCAUCCAUUGACAACCCCACGAAGACGCCACUUAUUAAAGUCUCAUCGUCGAAUUUCUGGUGUUGACCAACUUGUAGCACAACAACUAAUAUCCGCAAAUGUAUCCACACACCAACAAUAUGACAUUCUAGCAAUGCAAGCAGAAGGCAUUGAAAAUGUUGGUUUUACUCAACAAGAUAUGUACAACUCCAACAGAGAUAGACGUAUGAAGAUCAAGGGUCAUGAUGGAGAAAUGUUGUUUGAUCAUUUCAUGAAUGAGCAAGAAAAAAAUCCAGGGUUCAUAUUCAAGGUUGAGACAAAUAUUGAACACAAGAUUACUUGAUGUUUUUGGGCUGAUGCAAUCUCUAGGCAAUCGUACAAGUUUUAUGGUGAUGUGGUUAUCUUCGAC